GACAGAGGGUGCAAACGUUGUUCGGAAUUACUGGGCGUAAAGCGCGUGUAGGCGGCUCGAUAAGUCGGAUGUGAAAGCCCUGAGCUCAACCUAGGAAGUGCAUUCGAAACUGCCGAGCUUGAGUUCUGGAGAGGAAGGCGGAAUUCUCGGUGUAGAGGUGAAAUUCGUAGAUAUCGAGAGGAACACCGGUGGCGAAGGCGGCCUUCUGGACAGCAACUGACGCUGAGACGCGAAAGCGUGGGGAGCAAACAGG
Molecule: ribosomal RNA, 253 nt
Filed under: uncultured bacterium
Lineage: Bacteria
Description: partial 16S ribosomal RNA
Rfam family: Bacterial small subunit ribosomal RNA
Source: RNAcentral